UUUUAGUAUUCAGAGAAUGACCUGAACUUAGCUGUGUUAAGUUGCCUGCUCCACAGGAAACCACCUCUGUAACUGUUGCUUGCUGCUUUCUCUUUAGGCAACACCCAAAGCCACUGUCAGAUGUCAUGGAGAUGAGACCUCACAAGCCUACUCAACGUGAAGAUGAUGAGAAUGAAGACCUUUAUGAUGAUCUGCUUCCACUUAAAGAAUAGUAUUUGGCUGACUCCUGGACUAUGCAAGCACAAGAAGAGAUUUCAGAAGGUUUGGAAGAGAGUCUCUUCUGAGAGGCUGAGGGCUAAGAAGACUGCCCUGUGCAGGAAAGAUGUUGGAGUGCAAGCCCAUCUGGAAUGGAGAGACCUCGAUGAAACACAUAGGCAAUUAAUUAGAUCCCAGAAAGGCCACACUGUGCAAGUUUUGAUAUUUCUUUUCUAAAAAUAUUGGAGGCCUUAAUCAAGAGGAUCCUUGAAACAUAUCCACCUGACAGUUGGAGGACAAUUCUAUACCCCUAGAGAUCUUUCAUAAGUAGCAUACGGAUAUUCAUUUUUGAUCAAAUUUGGGGAAUCUCUAUUUCAAUAAUGAAGUUUGAUGACUUUUGAUAAAUGUGAACUGCUGCAUAACCAUCAUCACAAUGGAGAUUCAGAACAUUUCCAUCAUUUCAGAAAGCUUUCUCAUGCCACUUUGUAGCC
Molecule: long non-coding RNA, 686 nt
Organism: Homo sapiens (human)
Lineage: Eukaryota; Metazoa; Chordata; Mammalia; Primates; Hominidae
Product: long intergenic non-protein coding RNA 1934
Source: Ensembl